CUUCACCCCUAUCCAGCAGCAAGUAGCUAGAGCAGUCAUUGCCCAAUUCCUAAAAGCAGUUGGGGUGUCCUGUUUAGAGGGGGGAUUGAACCAAUUCCGGACACA
This is a long non-coding RNA of Nomascus leucogenys (northern white-cheeked gibbon), 105 nucleotides long. RefSeq lists it as uncharacterized. The record is from RefSeq and is a predicted model, not a curated record. The transcript is spliced from 3 exons. NCBI's taxonomy places the organism in Eukaryota, Metazoa, Chordata, Mammalia, Primates, Hylobatidae.